UCCCCUCGUCCUGGGAUCACGGCCGGUCCGUAUAAAGGCGAGCCCCUUCCCUCCUUCUCCCGGUGCCACAGCUGAGUUCGCUGAGUCCGGAGGAGAUUUAUAAAAAGCAGUCCCAUUCGUCCUCGAGACUGGAGAGCAGCAGGUUCCCCCUCCGAAGCAAACACCUGAGGCCCCGUGAACUCUUCCACAGCGAGUCAGGAUGCAGGAGAAACGCUCUCUGGGACAAAGGAACGCAGCGGCGGCGCUGUGCGUGGUGCUGCUGGUCCUGGCUCAGCAGGUGUGCGCAGGUCCGUUGGCCCCUCGGGCGGCGUCCGGCUCUGACCAGAGUCCGGACUCGAGGGGGGAAGCCGGCGGCGUCCGCGCACCGAGGAGGGUCGCCCGGAUGACCCCGCUGUGGAGGACCAUGAACAGCAAGCCGCUCGGCGCUUACUGCCAGAGCAACUACGAGUGCUCCACGGGACUGUGCAGGUAACGGGGAGAGGCCACAAGCAGCAAGAGCACCUCGUUCGGGUGGAACCAGUCACGUCGUCGGGGACUCUGAGGUCAACGGGAAAAAGAGAAGCGCGCGCUUUAGGUCGCUUUGAAGUGUUUAUGUGCUGCAAUGAAUUCUGACGGUCCAGAGGUCGCAUCUGGAGGGCGGGACACUGCUCCACCAGCCAGCGUUCCCUGUCGGGGGCCGUCACCUACUAGACGUCCUCGGACACGUUUGCAUGAAUUGAUCCAUCUUCAUUUUGUUUUCAUCUGAUUUUUUUUUUAUUAUUAUAUAUAUUUAUACGUGCCAAUAUGUUUCUGAUGAAAUCGAAUUGUUUGUAUGGAUUUACACAGCAGGUAGUUAUAUCCAAGAAAAGGAUUUUAAAAAAAUCAUUUCGCCUUUGAAGAUUGUUAAUAACCAUGUUUUAUUGGCGAUAGCACAAUUCAAAACAUAGCUCUGUAACGUUUGAGCACAAAGCCGAUUGUCAAAUGAUAUUUGUAAUUUUUUUUACGACGAUAUUCACUCGUUCAACAUUUCGUCAUCAGUGUCUCGUGUGUCCUGUACAAUAGCUUCGCUUUGUGCCGAGUUGAGUCUGAUCAUAACUGAUAAUGUGCAGCGUGGAAACGUUUGCUUCCCUUUGACCAAACCGAUGUUACAGCCGCGCAAAUAACAGCUCCAUGAAUUACGAUUUAACAUUUGGUGGAAAACCAGCAGGAACCGUAACGAUGCUGUGAAGACACGUUUUCAUCAUAGGCUGGAUUUUUUUUUUUUUGAUUACUCACAAGAUCAAACUGAAAAAAGUUUUUAAAAAAUUGCUAGUCGGAACUUUUAGACAUCUACUUGCUCGACGAACUUAACUAAUAUCCUGGUUGAGUGUACAAAUAUUAGGAACCGUUUCCUAAUUAUGAGCUGCACAGCCUUAUUGUCAUCGUCAUUAAUAUUUUUGCACAUCUUAGACGCGAUCACGGAUUACGCUUCGACUCACCUGUAUAGUUUACUUCAUGCACACAGCGGGUGGUUGCUGAUAUUUUGUACACUCAGCAUGUUUGAGUAGGAUUUGCACUUUUAAACACAAAUUAUCUUCGUACUGUGUCCUGUCUACUGUACGUACUGUACUGUGUUACCUACGUGUAGAGAGAUGGAGGGAGUGGAAUAAAAGCAUUGGAGAAAAAAUAAGAUUUA
Scophthalmus maximus (turbot) is the source of this 1654-nucleotide RNA transcript. It is a transcript of the gene named liver-expressed antimicrobial peptide 2, with no coding region annotated. Lineage: Eukaryota; Metazoa; Chordata; Actinopteri; Pleuronectiformes; Scophthalmidae. The record is from RefSeq and is a predicted model, not a curated record. The transcript is spliced from 3 exons.